This 1002-nucleotide long non-coding RNA is filed under the name Sarcophilus harrisii (Tasmanian devil). RNAcentral's name for it is "lncRNA (ENSSHAG00000030791.1)". The record is from RNAcentral. Lineage: Eukaryota; Metazoa; Chordata; Mammalia; Dasyuromorphia; Dasyuridae.
AUGGAAGGGCUCCCCAGCAAAUGGAGCAAACUGGGACUUUCAGCCAGACAGUUUGCCAGACGGAUUGGGGUCACUUAUUCCAUGGCAGAGUUUGUAGUCUAUGGUCACCAGCACCCUCCCUGCCAACCCAAAGCUUCCAAGAGCAAGACCACAAAGGACCACAAAGACAUUGUGCAAGUCACAUCCCUGAAGUCAGCCCAUAUGGUGCCCAGCAAGGUGCGCUCCUCCCAAAGAUACCGUCGGGCCAUGACCAGGAGCAGGGCUGGUUUGAAGAGAUACAGACAAACUCAACCCAGGAUCAAGCUCUCAAAACAUGGUCAGGCCAGGAAAAAGUCCAAAAUUGCUAUUAUGUGCAAAGGCAAACUCUCUGCCUCCACAUGUGAGGCCAAAUCUGACAAGGGCCUCAAAUCCCCAAGUUAUACCAAACCUAGUACCAAACUCAGAUACAAGAAAUGGUCAGUCACCAAUAUGCCGCCCAGAGGGAAGUCACCUAGCUCCAGAAGGAGGUAUGUCAGAAAGCAUACUCAUAAUCCAGUGGUUUGGAAGCGGUGGUGCAGAAACAUGUCCAAGAAACUCGAGAGUGGUAGGGUUCCCCUCCAGAACAUACGAGCCCGGAGGCAACGAAAGUCCAAGACCAGGAAAGUACACUCAGCUGUACAGGUUCCCUCCAUUGUGAUCAGAGAGGAGUCGACAUUACCUUUACCUAUAGAAUGCUUGGAGUUUUCCCAGGAGCAGGGCGAACACAAUAACCUGUCCCCUGGGACCCAAGACAGGACGACCCAGAUGACAGCAACCGAAUUCAACCAGGAAACGGAAGCCAGUGAGGAGGCCUUCCAGGAGAGUGAAGAAAAGAAGCCAGCGGAUGAGGAGUGGAUGGAAGAAGGAGAAGGAGAAGGGGAAGGGGAAGAGGAAGAAGAAGAGGAGGAAGAAUCCGUUUCCUAUGGAUGGUGGGAGCUGUUCAGGAGCUGGUUGCUGUCCCUGGAGACGUAUUUCAGAAUUUAA